This is a non-coding RNA of Acanthosepion pharaonis, 95 nucleotides long. The record is from the annotation of a GenBank genome assembly. Lineage: Eukaryota; Metazoa; Mollusca; Cephalopoda; Sepiida; Sepiidae.
CAUUGAAACACCGGUUCCCGUAUGAUCACCGAAGUUAAGCAACGUCGAACCUGGUUAGUACCUAGAUGAGUGACCAGUUGGAAAUAUCAGGUACU